AUUCCACAGAGCAUGAUGCUGGUACAUUAUACUAAUAGAACCACAUUGACGGAAUAGAGUAGGAAACAUCAGUGCUGAAGACCCUAGGAAAUAAAUGAGGAUUCCAGAAGAGAAGCAUCAAAAAUCUAUGGAAGGUCAAAAAUCAAAAUAGUUAGGUACAAUGCAUCAGGUAUACACCAACAGUACAAACAAAAACAUAAAUACAGAAGAGGGGACUUAGGUGGCUUUUGUUCGGAAGCAUUAAGGGAGGCUCCAGAAGUUACACAUGAGAUGAGCCAUCAGUCCAAACUGUAGGCAGGUUCAGAUGCGUAGACCUCAUCAUGCCUAACAGUUUGGAUUUACCCUGCACUGAAUGCAGUCUUUGAUUGACUAUGGGAAGAUUUCAUCAUCAUUGUUUUAGAUACAUUAGCCUGACAGGAGUACAAAGGCCAAAGCAACAGAAGAGAGAGCAGAGGCAGAGAGCUGAGUUAAAAGGUGACUUGCCAUUUACAGAGAGUAAGAGAAAACUAGAGCCAAGUUCACCAACCUCUCCAUGAGGUGACAGUGAAACAAAAGCCCUGCGCUCCUCCAAUCUUACUUAACAGAAUUAGACAAGUACCCUGAUCUUCGUGUGGAUCACUUUUCACUUCCUGAUCUUUGAAUGAAUCAGAUUUUAAUGCUUCCUUUUUACUACAACUUGCUAUCCACACCAAACCUUCCUGAAUAUAGGUAAGGCUGACUCUAAAGAGUAAAAUUUGUGAGAAUUAUAAAAAAAUCAGAAGGGGAAAAAGGCAUUUGUUCAAGCAUUUUAUAUUUUUACCAUUACUUCUUGGAUAGUCAGCCUAUCAUAAAUGUCAGUACUGGGUCUCCAUCUGGUGGCCAAAGUUUCUACUUGUAAAUUCUAAAGGACCUCAGAAUUUUUUGGUUCAUCACCCUAAGAGUGAAUCACAAAAGAAAAAAGAUGUAAUGUGUUAUUUUAAAAAGAAUGCAUAAACUUAUUUAAUUCAGAAAAUUCUGACUUUCAUAAUGCAUAAAUUAAAGGCAUACUUACAAAAAAAGUCCAGCGAUGUUUAGAGCUAAUCUUAUACAAGAAAAACAAAAAAGAAAAUGUUUUGAACUGAGCACAGGGAGAAAGUCUGUGACUGUCAGAAAUUUCAUUUAUGUAUUCAUUAGUCAACAAAUAUUUAUUGAGUACAUAUUAUAUGUGAACAAAGCCCUCAAUGCAGGGGCUAUAGGGAAAAAUACAAACAAAUUUCUUUCCUUCAGACAGCUUACAUUCUAACAGGGAGAGACAAAAUAAAUACACACCAUAACAUCAGUUGUCAUCAACAUUAGAACAUAAAAUAAAGGAGAAUAAUAGGAUAAGGAGUUAUAUAGGUGGAAAUAUACUUACUUUAUAAAGAAUGGUCAAGAUUGGCCUCUUUAAGACAAUAUUUAAAUAACAGACCUGAAUAAACUGAGAAAUUUAUCGUUUUAGAAAAGGCAGAGGAACCAGAGAUCA
Long non-coding RNA from Bubalus bubalis (water buffalo), 1480 nucleotides. RefSeq lists it as uncharacterized. The record is from RefSeq and is a predicted model, not a curated record. The transcript has 3 exons. Lineage: Eukaryota; Metazoa; Chordata; Mammalia; Artiodactyla; Bovidae.